RNAcentral lists this ribosomal RNA (480 nucleotides) under uncultured bacterium. RNAcentral's name for it is "bacterial SSU rRNA". It matches the Rfam family "Bacterial small subunit ribosomal RNA", at positions 28 to 524 of the family's 1533-position model. The record is from RNAcentral.
GAUGAACGCUAGCGGCAGGCUUAAUACAUGCAAGUCGAGGGGCAGCACGGUUAGCAAUAACUGGUGGCGACCGGCGCACGGGUGCGUAACACGUAUACAAUCUACCUUAAACAGGGGGAUAGCCUUUCGAAAGAGAGAUUAAUACCCCGUAAUAAAUUGAACGGCAUCGUUUGAUUUUGAAAGCUCCGGCGGUUUGAGAUGAGUAUGCGUCUGAUUAGCUAGUUGGUGAGGUAACGGCUCACCAAGGCGACGAUCAGUAGGGGAUCUGAGAGGACUAACCCCCACACUGGUACUGAGACACGGCCCAGACUCCUACGGGAGGCAGCAGUAGGGAAUCUUGCGCAAUGGGCGAAAGCCUGACGCAGCCAUGCCGCGUGUAUGAUGAAGGUCUUAGGGUUGUAAAGCUCUUUUACCCGAGAUGAUAAUGACAGUAUCGGGAGAAUAAGCUCCGGCUAACUCCGUGCCAGCAGCCGCGGUAAU